UGGGGGGAUGCCCGACAUAUCCGCUGCCGACUAGACGAAUACGUCGGUAUUAGUUUUUAGCAGCUCCGCUAGCUACCGUCGCUCGGGGUCGGGUAAUUGAGACCCGACCCAGACCACUCGCUCGGAAUUCUCUGUUAUCAGGAUGGGAACAAGCUGUUCGGCCGGUUCACCCCGUUCUUCUUCUUUCCGUUGGUCCAGCUUGUCGACCGUCAGGGAGCUCUUCGGUUCGUCGCUUUGAGCAG
Molecule: long non-coding RNA, 242 nt
Filed under: Elaeis guineensis (African oil palm)
Lineage: Eukaryota; Viridiplantae; Streptophyta; Magnoliopsida; Arecales; Arecaceae
Description: long non-coding RNA (EGUI_LNC018936)
Source: RNAcentral